AAUCUUCGGCAAUGGACGAAAGUCUGACCGAGCAACGCCGCGUGAGUGAGGAAGGUCUUCGGAUCGUAAAGCUCUGUUGCCAGGGAAGAAGGCCUUGGGGAGGGAAUGCCCUGAGGAUGACGGUACCUGAGAAGAAAGCCCCGGCUAACUACGUGCCAGCAGCCGCGGUAAUACGUAGGGGGCAAGCGUUGUCCGGAAUUAUUGGGCGUAAAGCGCGCGCAGGCGGUUCUUUAAGUCUUGUGUUUAAUCCCGGGGCUCAACCCCGGAACGCACAGGGAAACUGGAGGACUGGAGUGCAGGAGAGGAAAGUGGAAUUCCACGUGUAGCGGUGAAAUGCGUAGAUAUGUGGAGGAACACCAGUGGCGAAGGCGACUUUCUGGCCUGUAACUGACGCUGAGGCGCGAAAGCGUGGGGAGCAAA
Molecule: ribosomal RNA, 420 nt
Filed under: uncultured bacterium
Lineage: Bacteria
Description: bacterial SSU rRNA
Rfam family: Bacterial small subunit ribosomal RNA
Source: RNAcentral